AGCAACAGAAAAGCUUCAAAUCUCUGGUCCAAUCAAAGAGUUUGGUCAAUAAUGGGGCUGAAAAUAUUGGCUACUCUGUGAUACAAGGAAGUGCUGGCAACAGUUAUGAUAUAGUAGUUGCUGUGAGGCAAAAGGACGAAUAUGGCAGUCCUCUUCAGAGCAAACCCUCCAGACAAAUUUCUCGCGAGUCCAGCGAUUCAGAAGCCAAUGAGAAGACACUUAGGAUUGAAAGUUUGCCUUCAAAACCUGAAGGCUUGAUGACGUAUGGACCCUGGGGUGGAACUUCUGGCGGAUCCGUUUUCGACGAUGGAACCUACACAGGAAUUAGGCAAAUUUAUGUAUCACGCAAUAUUGGAAUUGUAUACAUAAGAGUUCAAUAUGAUCGUGAUGGGCAAGCUGUCUGGGGAAGCAAACAUGGAGGGACUGGAGGAUUUAAAACUGACAAGAUCGUGUUAGAUUAUCCAUAUGAAAUACUCACACAAGUAUCAGGGACCUAUGGUCCCUUAAUGUACAUGGGACCGAAUAUUAUCAAGUCGCUUACUUUCCACACCAACAAGGGGAAGCAUGGGCCAUUUGGAGAAGAACAAGGCCCCUCUUUCUCCAACAAACCAAACGAAGGAAAGAUUGUUGGAUUCCAUGGGAGGGAGGGUUUUUUCCUAGACGCUAUUGGUGUACAUGUGAUGGAAGGGAAAGUGAAGCCUGCUAAGCAUUAUCUUUCUGAUGCAAUUGUCCAAGCAGAAGUACCUGUUGCUGAGAUUGAUAAUUCUCCUUGGUCUAAUAAGCUGGUAGUAGCUAAGAGGGGACCAACAGAAGAGGUUGCUUGCUCCGUGGUAAAAGAGCCAGCUCCAUGCGGUCCAGGUCCUUGGGGUGGUGAUGGAGGAAGGCCAUGGGAUGAUGGAGUAUUUUCUGGGAUCAAGCAGAUAUUCAUAACCAGAGCUGAAGCUAUUUGCUCAAUACAGAUUGAGUACGAUCGAAAUGGACAAUCUGUGUGGUCAGUGAAACAUGGAGGCAGUGGAGGAACAGCCACCAACAGGGUGAAAUUAGAGUUCCCACAUGAAGUAUUAAUACGCAUAUCAGGAUACUAUGGCCCUGUGAGCAGGUAUGAGAGGCCAGUAGUGAAGUCACUCACAUUUUAUACCAGUAGAGGACAGUAUGGUCCAUUUGGUGAGGAAAUCGGUACAUAUUUCACUUCAACCACGACAGAGGGAAAGGUGGUUGGUUUCCAUGGAAAGUGUGGGGCUUACUUGGAUGCCAUUGGUGUCCACAUGCAACACUGGCUAGGAAAUACCAGAACAUCCAGAUCCUCUCUCUUCAAGAUUUUCAGUUGAUCUAAUGCUACAUGCUCUUAUCAGCAUUCGUGAACCAUAAACCCAGGCAUGUAUGUAUAAUGGAUAUUGGGUAUCGCAUUUCAACCAGAGCUGCUUGAUUCUAUAGGUCAUCCUGGCGUCUUCCAAUAACACUGCUCUGCUUCAUGUGUACAGAGUCUCCCUAGCUACUUGUUGAUCUCUUUGUACAAUUGCCUGCAAUACUAAUAAUAAUAAUAAUAA
This 1547-nucleotide unclassified non-coding RNA is filed under the name Hevea brasiliensis (rubber tree). Lineage: Eukaryota; Viridiplantae; Streptophyta; Magnoliopsida; Malpighiales; Euphorbiaceae. The record is from RNAcentral.